UCUACGUUGAAUAAUAAUACGCUGAGAACAUUGGCGGUGACCCUGUUAAGCAACUUGAUAUGUUUUUUCCGCUUAUUCACAGUUGGAACAAACAGGUUCCUUAACGAAUGCCUACUGACUCGUUAAACAAAUAUAUCAAUCAGUAGACAGACGUACGUGGUUGAGAUUAUACGUACAUUUUAAAUUCAACAAUGAAGACUGUAUCAAUUAUUUGCAUUGUUUUUGCGUCAUGUAUUUAUGUGAGCUAUUGUAAGGACCUUAUUGUGGGAACUAGUUUCAAUAACAGAAUUAUAUGGCAAGAAAAGGUGGAAUACAAUUCUAUUCCUCUAAAAAAGAGGGUGAAGGAAGUUUUCUUUGCUGAUCCAGGUCAACAGAUUAUAAAGGGAAUAAUAGCGAGGGACUUGGAUCACACAGACGCAACUGCGACGAUCACAUCGGGAGGAGUCGGUCA
Nymphalis io (European peacock) is the source of this 451-nucleotide long non-coding RNA. RefSeq lists it as uncharacterized. Lineage: Eukaryota; Metazoa; Arthropoda; Insecta; Lepidoptera; Nymphalidae. The transcript is spliced from 2 exons. The record is from RefSeq and is a predicted model, not a curated record.